GGAUGGACCUGCGGUGCAUUAGCUAGUUGGUAGGGGUAAACGGCCUACCAAGGGCGAUGAUGCAUAGCCGAGUUGAGAGACUGAUCGGCCACAUUGGGACUGAGACACGGCCCAAACUCCUGCGGGAGGCAGCAGUAGGGAAUCUUCCACAAUGGACGCAAGUCUGAUGGAGCAACGCCGCGUGAGUGAAGAAGGGUUUCGGCUCGUAAAGCUCUGUUGUUGGUGAAGAAGGACAGGGGGCAGUAACUGACCUUUGUUUGACGGUAAUCAAUUAGAAAGUCACGGGCUAACUACGUGUCAGCAGCCGCGGUAAAU
This 315-nucleotide ribosomal RNA is filed under the name uncultured Lactobacillus sp. Its description in RNAcentral is "bacterial SSU rRNA". It matches the Rfam family "Bacterial small subunit ribosomal RNA", at positions 223 to 525 of the family's 1533-position model. Lineage: Bacteria; Bacillati; Bacillota; Bacilli; Lactobacillales; Lactobacillaceae. The record is from RNAcentral.